RNAcentral lists this ribosomal RNA (254 nucleotides) under uncultured bacterium. Its description in RNAcentral is "partial 16S ribosomal RNA". It matches the Rfam family "Bacterial small subunit ribosomal RNA", at positions 524 to 776 of the family's 1533-position model. The record is from RNAcentral.
UACGGGGGGAGCAAGCGUUGUUCGGAUUUACUGGGCGUAAAGGGCGCGUAGGCGGUCAGCACAAGUCAGUUGUGAAAUCUCCGGGCUUAACUCGGAAAGGUCAACUGAUACUGUGCGACUAGAGUGCAGAAGGGGCAACUGGAAUUCUCGGUGUAGCGGUGAAAUGCGUAGAUAUCGGGAGGAACACCAGUGGCGAAGGCGACUUCCUGGCCUGUUCUUGACGCUGAGGCGCGAAAGCUAGGGUAGCAAACGGG